CGGGUUGUAAAGCACUUUCAGUCGUGAGGAAGGUAGUGUAGUUAAUAGCUGCAUUAUUUGACGUUAGCGACAGAAGAAAGCACCGGCUAACUCCGUACCAGCAGCCGCGGUAAUACGGAGGGUGCGAGCGUUAAUCGGAAUUACUGGGCGUAAAGCGCAUGCAGGUGGUUUGUUAAGUCAGAUGUGAAAGACCCGGGGCGUCAACCUCGGAAUAGCAUUUGAAACUAGGCAGACUAGAGUACUGUAGAGGGGGGUAGGAAUUUCAGGUGUAGCGGUGAAAUGCGUAGAGAUCUGAAGGAAUACCGGUGGCGAAGGCGGCCCCCUCGGACAGAUACUGACACUCAGAUGCGAAAGCGUGGGGAGCAAACAGGAUUAGAUACCCUGGUAG
This 388-nucleotide ribosomal RNA is filed under the name uncultured bacterium. Its description in RNAcentral is "bacterial SSU rRNA". It matches the Rfam family "Bacterial small subunit ribosomal RNA", at positions 419 to 793 of the family's 1533-position model. The record is from RNAcentral.